Molecule: long non-coding RNA, 605 nt
Organism: Dermacentor andersoni
Lineage: Eukaryota; Metazoa; Arthropoda; Arachnida; Ixodida; Ixodidae
Source: RefSeq, a predicted model, not a curated record
GUUCAUAGUGCUUUUUUUUUUUAUUGUUUAACCGAGGUAGGAAAUUAAGCAGUAUAAUAGCAAGAGCUUGGUGGCGCAACCCACCGCCCCGUUCCAAAGGGGAUGCUCAUAACAUCCAUCCGACUAAGGGCAUUAGGCACAACUAGUGUUCCUGUUUAUGCACCCACAGGGAGCAUAGUUGCGCAUAGCUUUUCCGGCGCCGCUCGCACCGCUAUUCGCCGAGCGCUAUCACGUGGCGCAAAAUGACGUAAAAUGAUCAACUGCGCCGCUGCGAAGCCAACUUUACGGAUGCGGCGCCGGCUCGUUUCCGUCAGUGCCAUUGAAAUUGCAUUCAGUGGACCGUGGAGCGUGCGUAGCAACGAUCGGCUCUGGGUUGUAGUGUGACGGGUUGCAGCGCACCAAACUGCACAAGUCGCACGGAAGGUGGCAAAGCUUUUUACGCGGUGCCGUGCGGACGGACGAAACUGACCUGCUCCGAAAGGGACCAGUAUGCGAGUGGAUUUGAAUUCUGCCCCCCAAGGCUCCAAGGACCAGCACUUAUCCCCUGCUGCCACCAUGCCAUUGCUCAUCCAUUCCCUUGUACGAAAUAAAUUUGAUCUAGACGC